GUCCUCUCAUAAGGAAAUAAGGGGCAGAAGUUCAGCUCCUCGGAGCUCCUCCUCACCUUGAGCACUCCCUUCGGCUGGUGAAGAAUGUGACUGGAAUCCAAAAGCCAGACGGCUGUCGGUGGAGAUGGGCUCCAGCUCCCCGUGACUUCGGAGCAUCAUCAACCUCCAAGGAGGCGGGAAUGUACAAGACCAUUUCCAUCAACCAGAUUGCUUCCAAAUUCUUCCUCUCUCAGAAGCUUCCUCCUCAGGUGACCCAGAUGUACCUGAGAGCAUCAGCUUCCCAGGAGAUCUCUCAGGCAGAAGCUUGGGGUCUCAGAUCUAGAGGCUGAGAAGUCCAAGACUAAGGCUGGUUCUUCACAGAUUUGCUGUCUGGUGAGAGCUCACUUCCUGGUUCAUAAAUAGCCAUCUUCUCACUGCAACCUCCAUGCGAAUGACUAGAUCUCUUUUAUAAAG
Bos taurus (domestic cattle) is the source of this 453-nucleotide long non-coding RNA. Lineage: Eukaryota; Metazoa; Chordata; Mammalia; Artiodactyla; Bovidae. The record is from Ensembl.